Non-coding RNA from Peromyscus maniculatus bairdii (prairie deer mouse), 5116 nucleotides. NCBI's taxonomy places the organism in Eukaryota, Metazoa, Chordata, Mammalia, Rodentia, Cricetidae. The record is from RefSeq and is a predicted model, not a curated record.
GAGCAGGAAACAGUCCCAACCUCUGAGCCAUCUCUCCGGCCCCCAUACAGUAAGGCUUUAAUAUUCACUUGUAGGUUCAUGACUCAUCUCAACUGAGCUUUCUGUAUGUGGUGAUGUGGGGUGGGUUAACUCGGAUUAGUUCCUGUACAGAUGGAUGUGUCAGUCUCCUCACUGAGGGACUUCCUGUGUCUUCAGUUGAUUGUCUGGGCGACAUCAUCCAACUCGGAUGACUGCAUACAGAGGUCUCCACGUGGCGUCUGUGUUUGUCCCUCUUCAUACCUGCACGGUGUGCACUGGAUCAUCUCGACUGCCCUCAGGCUUUGCAUUCUGGGCUGCAGGCUCAAGUUCUGUUGAGAUUCUGGGUCUGUGUUUUCCAAUACAGCCAGUCACUAGAGUGAGUUGAACUGAGUUUGGAGUGACAGACGAGGAAGUCUGAACAGCUGGAGUGAGUCUGACUGGGUAACAGAGCACCCUCUCUGCUGCAGACCUCUACAAUGGGUUCAUGCGAUUGGUUCACUGAUGUUUGUGGUUGCUAUCUGCGGGAAUGUUGCUAUACCAUCUUUCCUGUCUCUAGGACAGGGCUUUGCCGGUCUCCAAAGGCAGCCAGGGCAGGUAUCUGGUUUGUUUUCUGAGACAGCCUGGGCAAGGUUAAAUGGUUUCUUCCUUCCACAUGUAGGUGACACUAUUCUGGGGGAAAACGUUUAUACUCCUCAGAGAGUGAACCUAUGUCAGGCUAAGGCAAGGAUGCUAAAUUGGUGAAAUGCUGAGUUAUUGGGGUUACUCAUGGGAUGGUGGGUGAGGGGUCACUUACAGGAGCAGGGACUACCUAAAGGCAGAAGCAUCAUCAAAUCCCAGCACAGCACAGCUGACAGAUCAUGAAAGCUGGAACCCUGGAGCUCUCUGCACAACUCUCAGGCAGCUCAACAGGUCAGAGACUCUUCUCUUCUUGGCAGCCCUUACUGCUUAUAUGACCUUUGGGAGAGAGGGGCCUAGUGUUGUUAUCUGGUCAGCUUCAGGGAAUUCCUGAGACUUGUGAGUUGUUGAUUUCCUGGGUCUUAAGGAACUUUCCUCCAGGAUGGAAUACGGCAAUUCAGGGAAAAUGGCAAUACAAUGCCAACUUAUUCCUUAUUUCUGGUGGGCAGCAAGUGAACCCAUGAAAUGCGUGAUGGAGCUCGUCCUUAGGGAAUGCACCUAGACUUUGAGAAUGACUGCCAUGCCAGCCCUGUCUUUAUGACAGUCCCCCUACCCCUGCAAACUAAAGGUGGUGGAGUCCCAGUGAGCCACUUGCCCCUCUUUUGGGAGAAGUGGCUUUAUCGUUUGGUACUCACUUCUUUUUGCUGCUUGUGGGGGGUCUCUGUGGCUCAAGAAAAGGGUGAGUGGCUGAUGCCGUGUGGCCUCAUUGCUAGGUUAGAAGUGACAGUCUUGAGUGACUUUCUACAUCCCAAGCCUCCUCUGGCAUUUUAAAAACAAGGAAAGGGAAAAUAACUUUCUAUUCUUGAUUCAUACUGCUGUCACUUUUAAAUAUUUGCAAGUUGUCCCUCAUCACUGUGGCUUUUCAAAUAUGUCCUUGCUAUUUAUACCCACUUAUUUUUUUUUGUGUGUGUGUGAGCUUAACUUUUAAUGACGUUUAUUGAUUUGUUCUAUUUAGAAAUGCGGCCCCUGUUCACUGGUAAAAGAAAAAAAAAAAAGCAACCUGUAGAAUUAUUGCAGGAUCUUCCACUGAAAAUGUGCUGGUUUUAAUAUAUGCGUCUCUCUUCUUAGUUUUAAAAUAAAACUACUUACGUACAAAAUAAUCCGUACGUAUUAAGCAUCCGAAUGCAGGAAAAUCCGGAGUAAAGUGUGGUCUUUCUGUGAUGGCUCCAGGGCACCCCAUCAGCUGAGCACGUCCCUGCCUCACCUUGGGGACUCACCUCCCAUGAUGCUCGCUCCCACCCCUCCCAACUGAUUGCAACCUCUGACCCAGGCAGGCACCUUCUUCUGUGGGCCUGGGCCAUGGAAUGUUCCAGGCAAGUAGCAGAAUUUUUCCAGCAUGUCUUUCAAGCUUUUGUUCCAACGUCUGAGUCCAGCUAGAGGAGAGGGCCCUCUUGACCAGAACUGUGUGACCCAGAAAGACACGGGAGGAGGAAAUGGGUGACAUGCUCAGAAGAGGCUCCUAGGAAGUUGCUGGGGAGAGCGUGAGAGCAGAAGCCCCUGGCCAUCACCCGGCAGGCAGGCAGAGCUCCAGGAAUGCGGAUCUCAGACCCGGGCUCCCUGAGUUAACCCGACAGCAGCGCCAUCAUCCCAGUGAAGGUGAGGGCAUGGCUGGAGAGACUUGGAAAUCUCUCCUAGAAACGUCAAAGAGAAGAAAAGCAGUGAAUAAAAUCUGAGUCAAGAGGUGAGGAGCCUGGAGAGGUGGAGUCUGCAGCCUGGACUCAUUUUCCCCAGAGAGCAGCUGUUCUGGAAGGAGAUGAUGAUUAACAGAGAGGAAAAUAAGAAAAGAGGAAGGAGAGCAGAGGCAGCACCGGACACCCCGCAGAUGUCCAGGCAGCGGAGCAGGACCCGACACAGUCUUCAAGCUGGUUUCGGUGCUAAAAGCAGAACUUGAAAAUGUCAGCGUUGGGGAAAGGCUGGGGAGACGGCCCCAUGGUGAGGAGCACUUGCUGCUCUUGCGGCGGUCAUGGGCGCUGAGUCCCAGCACCCACAUGGGUGGGGGAAGCUCGCAACCACCUGGGAAUCCAGUUCCUCUCCUGGCCUCGUUGGGCAUGCACACAUGUGGUGUACAUGAACUUACACGGGCGCACACACACAUGCACAAAAAUUCUUAAGAAAAAGAGAGGAAGAAGAACAUGAAAGGCUGGUGAUGUGGCCUGGAGGGUAAAGUCCUUGCUGUGGCAAACUUGGUGGCCUAUGGUUGAUCACCAGCACCCACAGUGGAAGUGGAGCACAGAGUCCUGAAAAUUAUCCUCUGACCCCCCCCACACACAUGCACCGUGGCACGCACAUGCCUGCACACACUCACACACAUACACAUCAGUAUGUAUAUAAUUGUGCGCAUACGUAUGUAGAGAAAUAGAGUAGACACGGUAACGGGCACAUUGGAAGACGCUAAUUAAAUUUGACUGUGACACCAACAACCAACAAUAAGGAACCAACAGAGAGACUGAUUUAACAGCGUCAGGUCUCAAAGAAACCCAGGAGAAGUCUCACUCAGUACCUGUGGCUCCUCCCAGCACUGCUGACCCCGACCCCUAUUCUCAACCUCUCCAACCUAGGAGCUGUGUUUCACAUCCCUUGGAUUCCUGUAUCACCCAGCCAUUUUGGUCACUUGCUCUCUUGGUUCCUGGUUCUUCUCUUUCCCAUCCCUUUCCCCCACCUCGCCUCUCAUGGUCUGGUUCAUGUCUGGUCUCGACUCUCCCAGACGCCUCUGGCUGUUCUCUCCCUCCUACCCACAAUUAACCUUCUCCUCAACCAUACAGAGGAGCGGCCAUGUCCUCAUUUUUUCAUUCAAACAGCAGAAGGGGGAGCUGGAAAUCCAUAUGCAGAGUGAAAUCUUGAAUGGGAGGACAGGAAAGGAGAGGACUCUGGAAGAGGGUAACAGAAUGUCAGAGGAGAAGAAAGCGGACUGAGUACAGCUAAGACCCGAAGUGAUCACCUUUGGGGGAUUUUCUGCUGAUGGAGACAGGAGUCCACCAUUGGAUUCGAGUAGCUCAACUGUUGAGGGACAUUUUCUGGAGAGAUGAGAAUAAACAGUUAUUCUUCCAAUGGGCACAGAUGAAGGAAACCAUCCCACUGCAGUCCAGGAUGGGGAGCCAGUGUGUGUUUGGGGGUUACUUAGGGACAUUGGUGACUCAGAGGUGGCUACAUCGCCAGAAAGUCCACCUUUCUGGUCUUUUCUCUCCAGAAAGUGUUCAUUGUUUUUAAAACCUCAGGGAGGAGUUGUGUGAACCCCAUUAACUGCUGAGCUGAGCCUGAGCCUUGUGGAUUUGGGGAGCUUUUUGAGUCUUCCAAGUCUCCCUCCAUCUUCCAGGAGAGACAUUCUGUCUCAUCACAUAGGCAGGGAGUCUUCCAUCUUGGAGACAGGGCUUCUGGCUAACAAAGCCCUAGGGGAGAAAGCUGCAGACAAUGUAUGAACACACCCGGGGUCCCUAUUCUCAGGCCCAGAGGCUGAGUGCUCACUGAGCCAUGCACCAAAGAAAACCCAUUGCUUUGUGGAAUUUUCCACAUGCCCCUUAACCAGAAACAUCCUUAGGUUUUCCAAACACCUGUCUAACCUGAACAAAGAACAUACUGCCUCUCAGCUUAAUCUGAUGAUGUCAUGUGACCUUGGACCUACUUUCCCAUGUUACCACCUCCUUCCCAAGGGACCUUGAAAGAAAUGCCCUUUGGGGGGCUGGAGAGUUGGCUCAGUGGUUAAGAGCACUGUCUGCUCUUUCAGAGGACCCAGGUUCAAUUCUCAGUACCUGUAUAGUGGUUCACAACCUUUCUAAGUCCAGUUCCCAGGGGUCCGAUGCCCUCUUCUGGCCUCCAGGGGCAGUGGGCAUGCCUGUGGUGUACAUACAUACGUGCCUAUAAAACAUACACACACACACACACACACACACACACACACACACACAAAGUGAAAUGCCUUUCUGCCUUUCCUGGGCAGGCUGGGGUUUUGCUUCCCUCUGCAGGGUUGCCGACGACAUUAAUAAGUGUUUUGCCUGGAGGCAGAUCCUGCACUGUGGCUUCCUAGAACCGAGUCUCGCUCUAAACCUAACAACUUCAAUUAAGAAGAAGAAACUCCACAGCAUUAAUAAGUCCAAACACACUCCGCAGAGGUUCUCACCGAGAAGCAGAUGCACUGACCACAGCGGUGAGGAAUCUCCCUUGUACACAGCGCCCAGAGGGGAGGGAGCACGGAGCGGGUGAGGAGCCACCGACAGCUGUCUUUCCAAACAACAACAGAGACGAAACCAAAGGACUGAAAGCCAAGCACAGCCAAGAACUGUAACCACGGAUCUAACGUUACAGAACUGAAGAAUAACUAAGAUCUUGUGCAGGCAACCACAGCUGAUGUGAGUUCAUGGGUACAGUGGUCCCGUCAUGCCCAGAAGGCACUGUUUGCCUGGUCCUCUGACUUUCACGAUCUUUCCAC